GACGAACGCUGGCGGCGUGCCUAAUACAUGCAAGUAGAACGCUGAAGGAGGAGCUUGCUUCUCUGGAUGAGUUGCGAACGGGUGAGUAACGCGUAGGUAACCUGCCUGGUAGCGGGGGAUAACUAUUGGAAACGAUAGCUAAUACCGCAUAAUAGUAGAUGUUGCAUGACAUUUGCUUAAAAGGUGCAAUUGCAUCACUACCAGAUGGACCUGCGUUGUAUUAGCUAGUUGGUGAGGUAACGGCUCACCAAGGCAACGAUACAUAGCCGACCUGAGAGGGUGAUCGGCCACACUGGGACUGAGACACGGCCCAGACUCCUACGGGAGGCAGCAGUAGGGAAUCUUCGGCAAUAGACGGAAGUCUGACCGAGCAACGCCGCGUGAGUGAAGAAGGUUGUCGGAUCGUAAAGCUCUGUUGUAAGAGAAGAACGAGUGUGAGAGUGGAAAGUUCACACUGUGACGGUAUCUUACCAGAAAGGGACGGCUAACUACGUG
Molecule: ribosomal RNA, 495 nt
Filed under: uncultured bacterium
Lineage: Bacteria
Description: partial 16S ribosomal RNA
Rfam family: Bacterial small subunit ribosomal RNA
Source: RNAcentral